This 484-nucleotide long non-coding RNA is filed under the name Homo sapiens (human). RNAcentral's name for it is "non-protein coding lnc-RGMA-20:1". The record is from RNAcentral. Lineage: Eukaryota; Metazoa; Chordata; Mammalia; Primates; Hominidae.
UAGGCAGAUCAAAUUUUCUAUUUCUGUGCCUCCAAAUGCCCACAGAAAUAAUAAGACAGGAGGUUUCUUCAGCUGACUCCAAGGACAUACAUACCCUGAUUUCCAGAGUUUGUACUAGGAGUGUUGCCAGAAGGACUUUACAGUAUUUUCCCUACUUCGCACAGAUGUGCAGCAGCUAGAGGUGAGGCCACCAAAUAAAACCCAAGCCUGUCUCCGUGGAUUGGAAAGAGGAAGUUUUUAACUGUUUGGAGGGAAAUUGCUGUAGCGCUCCCUCCUGAGCAAGGUAACAGGAUUUAAUUUAAAACAUUUACAGGACAUCAUAUACGACUUCUUUCUGUUCAUUUCUUGCUACUGUUAGAGGGAUGGGAUUUUCCUUUUUUCGGUUGUUUUAUUGUUGUUCUAGACAUUUCCAAAGGAUCACUGUUGAAUGGCUUAGUGAAUCCCUAAAUUUGUAUGUGUCUAUGGAUUUUUCUAUAUUCCAAGC